UACGGAGGGCGCAGGCGUUGUUCGGAAUCACGGGGCGUAAAGCGCGGGUAAGCGGAUUGGUAAGUCGGGUGUGAAAGCCCGGAGCUCAACUCCGGAACUGCAUUCGAAACUACCUCGCUCGAGUCCCGGAGAGGGUGGUGGAAUUCCCGGUGUAGAGGUGAAAUUCGUAGAUAUCGGGAGGAACACCAGUGGCGAAGGCGGCCACCUGGACGGUGACUGACGCUGAGACGCGAAAGCGUGGGGAGCAAAUAGG
RNAcentral lists this ribosomal RNA (253 nucleotides) under uncultured bacterium. Its description in RNAcentral is "partial 16S ribosomal RNA". It matches the Rfam family "Bacterial small subunit ribosomal RNA", at positions 524 to 776 of the family's 1533-position model. The record is from RNAcentral.